This 305-nucleotide ribosomal RNA is filed under the name uncultured bacterium. Its description in RNAcentral is "partial 16S ribosomal RNA". It matches the Rfam family "Bacterial small subunit ribosomal RNA", at positions 333 to 640 of the family's 1533-position model. The record is from RNAcentral.
UGCUACCUACGGGGGGCAGCAGUGGGGAAUAUUGCACAAUGGGGGAAACCCUGAUGCAGCGACGCCGCGUGAGUGAAGAAGUAUCUCGGUACGUAAAGCUCUAUCAGCAGGGAAGAAAAAAAGUCUUUGGCUUUGGACGGUACCUGACUAAGAAGCCCCGGCUAACUACGCGCCAGCAGCCGCGGUAAUACGUAGGGGGCAAGCGUUAUCCGGAUUUACUGGGUGUAAAGGGAGCGUAGACGGCGAUGCAAGUCUGAAGUGAAAGGCGGGGGCCCAACCCCCGGACUGCUUUGGAAACUGUAUAG